RNAcentral lists this transfer RNA (67 nucleotides) under Marmota monax (woodchuck). RNAcentral describes it as "tRNA.Ala". The record is from RNAcentral. Lineage: Eukaryota; Metazoa; Chordata; Mammalia; Rodentia; Sciuridae.
GGCUGUAGCUCAGUGGCAGAGUGUUUGCCUAGCAUGCGUGAGACACUGGAUUCAAUUCUCAGCACCA